AGAGUUUGAUCCUGGCUCAGAACGAACGCUGGCGGCGUGCCUAACACAUGCAAGUCGAACGUGAAAGUCCUUCGGGAUGAGUAAAGUGGCGCACGGGUGAGUAAUGCGUAGAUAAUCUGCCUGAUGAUCUGGGAUAACAUCUCGAAAGGGGUGCUAAUACCGGAUAAGCCCACGGGCUCUUCGGAGCUUGCGGGAAAAGGGGGGGACCUUCGGGCCUUCUGUCAUCAGAUGAGUCUACGUACCAUUAGCUAGUUGGUAGGGUAAAGGCCUACCAAGGCGACGAUGGUUAGCUGGUCUGAGAGGAUGAUCAGCCACACUGGAACUGAGACACGGUCCAGACUCCUACGGGAGGCAGCAGUGGGGAAUUUUGCGCAAUGGGGGAAACCCUGACGCAGCAACGCCGCGUGAGUGAUGAAGGCCUUCGGGUCGUAAAGCUCUGUCAGAGGGAAAGAAAUGUGGGGCGCUAAUACCGUUACCACUUGACGGUACCCUCAAAGGAAGCACCGGCUAACUCCGUGCCAGCAGCCGCGGUAAUACGGAGGGUGCGAGCGUUGUUCGGAAUUAUUGGGCGUAAAGCGCGUGUAGGCGGUUUUAUAAGUCUGAUGUGAAAGCCCCGGGCUCAACCUGGGAAGUGCAUUGGAUACUGUAAGACUUGAGUACGGGAGAGGGCAGUGGAAAUUCCUAGUGUAGGAGUGAAAUCCGUAGAUAUUAGGAGGAACACCGGUGGCGAAGGCGGCUGCCUGGACCGAUACUGACGCUGAGACGCGAAAGCGUGGGUAGCAAACAGGAUUAGAUACCCUGGUAGUCCACGCCGUAAACGAUGAGUACUAGGUGNUGCGGGUAUUGACCCCUGCAGUGCCGCAGCUAACGCAUUAAGUACUCCGCCUGGGAAGUACGGUCGCAAGACUAAAACUCAAAUGAAUUGACGG
RNAcentral lists this ribosomal RNA (929 nucleotides) under uncultured delta proteobacterium. RNAcentral describes it as "bacterial SSU rRNA". It matches the Rfam family "Bacterial small subunit ribosomal RNA", at positions 8 to 916 of the family's 1533-position model. The record is from RNAcentral. Lineage: Bacteria; Deltaproteobacteria.